RNAcentral lists this ribosomal RNA (468 nucleotides) under uncultured bacterium. RNAcentral's name for it is "partial 16S ribosomal RNA". It matches the Rfam family "Bacterial small subunit ribosomal RNA", at positions 28 to 507 of the family's 1533-position model. The record is from RNAcentral.
GACGAACGCUGGCGGCGUGCUUAACACAUGCAAGUCGAACGGAAAGGCCCUGCUUUUGUGGGGUGCUCGAGUGGCGAACGGGUGAGUAACACGUGAGUAACCUGCCCUUGACUUUGGGAUAACUUCAGGAAACUGGGGCUAAUACCGGAUAGGAGCUCCUGCUGCAUGGUGGGGGUUGGAAAGUUUCGGCGGGUGGGGAUGGACUCGCGGCUUACCAGCUUGUUGGUGGGGUAGUGGCUUACCCAGGCUUUGGCGGGUAGCCGGCCUGAGAGGGUGACCGGGCACCUUGGGACUACGAUACGGCGCAGACUCGUACGGGAGGCAACAGUCGGGAAUAUUGCACAAUGGGCGGAAGCCUGAUGCGGCAGCGCCGCGUGCGUGAUGACGGCCUUCGGGUUGUGAACCGCUUUCGCCUGUGACGAAGCGUGAGUGACGGUAAUGGGUAAAGAAGCACCGGCUAACUACGUG